Molecule: ribosomal RNA, 253 nt
Filed under: uncultured bacterium
Lineage: Bacteria
Description: partial 16S ribosomal RNA
Rfam family: Bacterial small subunit ribosomal RNA
Source: RNAcentral
UACGUAGGGGGCAAGCGUUGUCCGGAUUUAUUGGGCGUAAAGAGCGUGUAGGCGGCCAGGUAGGUCCGUUGUGAAAACUCGAGGCUCAACCUCGAGACGUCGGCGGAAACCCUCUGGCUAGAGUCCGGAAGAGGAGAGUGGAAUUCCCGGUGUAGCGGUGAAAUGCGCAGAUAUCGGGAAGAACACCCGUGGCGAAGGCGGUUCUCUGGGACGGUACUGACGCUGAGACGCGAAAGCGUGGGGAGCGAACAGG